Molecule: long non-coding RNA, 759 nt
Organism: Mya arenaria
Lineage: Eukaryota; Metazoa; Mollusca; Bivalvia; Myida; Myidae
Exons: 4
Source: RefSeq, a predicted model, not a curated record
GAUAUUUUGUUUAACGUGAUCGAUUUUGGUUUUAGCCAUAAUAAACUAAGUUUAACUUUUUGUAUGCCCUUAUCAUGAAGGAACAAUUUGUACGUGUUUAAACUUACUUUUUAUUCAAUUUGUCUUACAAUAGUUUCGACAAAUCACUAUGUUUUUGGAUCAAUCUACGGAUUAAAAAGAUGAUGGCCAAGGAAAUGGUGGACAACACAUCAAUCAAAUGGCAGACAGAAUUCGAGUAUCAAAAGUGAUUCCGCUACCUGCAGUGCCAGAGGGCGGUAUGGGUGGAGAUGAUAUCCAAUAUUUAGCUGUAUCUGGGGCUAACAGUCAGAACGGCGAAAGAUCGGAAAAUCCAGCAGACAGACGUGAUUGAUACUCGUUCCUCAUAGGAUGUCGAUGAAACGUUCGAAGUGCUCAUUAUCUUCAUAGAACAUUUUUCUUAUUUCAUUUUGAUCAGCAUGUAACAAACUGUUCAGACUUGUGUUCAAUCGUUUGAGAUGGACGAAGGGAGGUAACUGAAACUGUGAAAAAGAACCGAAUUCACAUAGUUCAUAUACAUUUAAUCUUAAUUGAAGCGAACAUUUAUAGAAACGGAUGCGAAUAAUAACGAACAAAGAUAUUCAAUUGAAAUAAAUCUUUUUGUAUUUGAUUGACUCAAAUAUCUGUUAAAAGGUUAAUUUAAAGGGACUAUAAACCAAAUUGUCACCUUUUUUCUGUAACGAAUCUCAUGACAAUUAUUUAAUAAAAUGUUUUACUCUUUGA